This 1372-nucleotide ribosomal RNA is filed under the name uncultured bacterium. RNAcentral's name for it is "bacterial SSU rRNA". It matches the Rfam family "Bacterial small subunit ribosomal RNA", at positions 28 to 1381 of the family's 1533-position model. The record is from RNAcentral.
GAUAAACGCUGGCGGCGUGCCUAAUACAUGCAAGUCGAGCGAACGGACGAGAAGCUUGCUUCUCUGAUGUUAGCGGCGGACGGGUGAGUAACACGUGGAUAACCUACCUAUAAGACUGGGAUAACUUCGGGAAACCGGAGCUAAUACCGGAUAAUAUUUUGAACCGCAUGGUUCAAAAGUGAAAGACGGUCUUGCUGCCACUUAUAGAUGGAUCCGCGCUGCAUUAGCUAGUUGGUAAGGUAACGGCUUACCAAGGCAACGAUGCAUAGCCGACCUGAGAGGGUGAUCGGCCACACUGGAACUGAGACACGGUCCAGACUCCUACGGGAGGCAGCAGUAGGGAAUCUUCCGCAAUGGGCGAAAGCCUGACGGAGCAACGCCGCGUGCGUGAUGAAGGUCUUCGGAUCGUAAAACUCUGUUAUUAGGGAAGAACAUAUGUGUAAGUAACUGUGCACAUCUUGGCGGUACCUAAUCAGAAAGCCACGGCUAACUACGUGCCAGCAGCCGCGGUAAUACGUAGGUGGCAAGCGUUAUCCGGAAUUAUUGGGCGUAAAGCGCGCGUAGGCGGUUUUUUAAGUCUGAUGUGAAAGCCCACGGCUCAACCGUGGAGGGUCAUUGGAAACUGGAAAACUUGAGUGCAGAAGAGGAAAGUGGAAUUCCAUGUGUAGCGGUGAAAUGCGCAGAGAUAUGGAGGAACACCAGUGGCGAAGGCGACUUUCUGGUCUGUAACUGACGCUGAUGUGCGAAAGCGUGGGGAUCAAACAGGAUUAGAUACCCUGGUAGUCCACGCCGUAAACGAUGAGUGCUAAGUGUUAGGGGGUUUCCGCCCCUUAGUGCUGCAGCUAACGCAUUAAGCACUCCGCCUGGGGAGUACGACCGCAAGGUUGAAACUCAAAGGAAUUGACGGGGACCCGCACAAGCGGUGGAGCAUGUGGUUUAAUUCGAAGCAACGCGAAGAACCUUACCAAAUCUUGACAUCCUUUGACAACUCUAGAGAUAGAGCCUUCCCCUUCGGGGGACAAAGUGACAGGUGGUGCAUGGUUGUCGUCAGCUCGUGUCGUGAGAUGUUGGGUUAAGUCCCGCAACGAGCGCAACCCUUAAGCUUAGUUGCCAUCAUUAAGUUGGGCACUCUAAGUUGACUGCCGGUGACAAACCGGAGGAAGGUGGGGAUGACGUCAAAUCAUCAUGCCCCUUAUGAUUUGGGCUACACACGUGCUACAAUGGACAAUACAAAGGGCAGCGAAACCGCGAGGUCAAGCAAAUCCCAUAAAGUUGUUCUCAGUUCGGAUUGUAGUCUGCAACUCGACUACAUGAAGCUGGAAUCGCUAGUAAUCGUAGAUCAGCAUGCUACGGUGAAUACGUUCCCGGGUCU